AUUGAACGCUGGCGGCAGGCCUAACACAUGCAAGUCGAACGGUAGCACAGAGAGCUUGCUCUCGGGUGACGAGUGGCGGACGGGUGAGUAACGUCUGGGAAACUGCCCGAUGGAGGGGGAUAACUACUGGAAACGGUAGCUAAUACCGCAUAACGUCGCAAGACCAAAGUGGGGGACCUUCGGGCCUCACACCACCGGAUGUGCCCAGAUGGGAUUAGCUAGUAGGUGGGGUAAUGGCUCACCUAGGCGACGAUCCCUAGCUGGUCUGAGAGGAUGACCAGCCACACUGGAACUGAGACACGGUCCAGACUCAUACGGGAGGCAGCAGUGGGGAAUAUUGCACAAUGGGCGCAAGCCUGAUGCAGCCAUGCCGCGUGUAUGAAGAAGGCCUUCGGGUUGUAAAGUACUUUCAGCGGGGAGGAAGGCGGUGAAGUUAAUAACUUCACCGAUUGACGUUACCCGCAGAAGAAGCACCGGCUAACUCCGUGCCAGCCGCCGCAGUAA
This 504-nucleotide ribosomal RNA is filed under the name uncultured bacterium. RNAcentral describes it as "partial 16S ribosomal RNA". It matches the Rfam family "Bacterial small subunit ribosomal RNA", at positions 30 to 523 of the family's 1533-position model. The record is from RNAcentral.